This 254-nucleotide ribosomal RNA is filed under the name uncultured bacterium. Its description in RNAcentral is "partial 16S ribosomal RNA". It matches the Rfam family "Bacterial small subunit ribosomal RNA", at positions 524 to 776 of the family's 1533-position model. The record is from RNAcentral.
UACGGGGGGAGCAAGCGUUGUUCGGAUUUACUGGGCGUAAAGGGCGCGUAGGCGGUCGUGACAAGUCACUUGUGAAAUCUCCGGGCUUAACUCGGAACGGUCAAGUGAUACUGUCGGACUAGAGUACAGAAGGGGCAACUGGAAUUCUCGGUGUAGCGGUGAAAUGCGUAGAUAUCGGGAGGAACACCAGUGGCGAAGGCGGCUACCUGGACCGGUUCUGACACUGAGGAGCGAAAGCGUGGGGAGCGAUCCGG